Non-coding RNA from Schistosoma mansoni, 45 nucleotides. The record is from Rfam. NCBI's taxonomy places the organism in Eukaryota, Metazoa, Platyhelminthes, Trematoda, Strigeidida, Schistosomatidae.
AUCCAACUGAAGAAUUCCAAAUAGAAUGAAACGCAGAUCCUGGAU